Molecule: ribosomal RNA, 321 nt
Filed under: Fusarium sp. SW295
Lineage: Eukaryota; Fungi; Ascomycota; Sordariomycetes; Hypocreales; Nectriaceae
Description: LSU rRNA
Rfam family: Eukaryotic large subunit ribosomal RNA
Source: RNAcentral
AGACCGAUAGCGAACAAGUAGAGUGAUCGAAAGAUGAAAAGCACUUUGAAAAGAGAGUUAAAAAGUACGUGAAAUUGUUGAAAGGGAAGCGUUUAUGACCAGACUUGGGCUUGGUUAAUCAUCUGGGGUUCUCCCCAGUGCACUUUUCCAGUCCAGGCCAGCAUCAGUUUUCCCCGGGGGAUAAAGGCGGCGGGAAUGUGGCUCUCUUCGGGGAGUGUUAUAGCCCACCGUGUAAUACCCUGGGGGGGACUGAGGUUCGCGCAUCUGCCAAGGAUGCUGGCGUAAUGGUCAUCAACGACCCGUCUUGAAACACGGACCAAG